GCCAAAAAGUUCAUUCGGAAUUUUCUGUAAGAUAUGGGGAAAACGAACGAAGUUUUUGGC
RNAcentral lists this microRNA precursor (60 nucleotides) under Tursiops truncatus (common bottlenose dolphin). RNAcentral describes it as "miRNA (ENSTTRG00000024713.1)". Lineage: Eukaryota; Metazoa; Chordata; Mammalia; Artiodactyla; Delphinidae. The record is from RNAcentral.